Long non-coding RNA from Felis catus (domestic cat), 433 nucleotides. RefSeq lists it as uncharacterized. The transcript is spliced from 2 exons. The record is from RefSeq and is a predicted model, not a curated record. NCBI's taxonomy places the organism in Eukaryota, Metazoa, Chordata, Mammalia, Carnivora, Felidae.
UGGUAACCGCCUCUCACAGAGGCAAGCCAGGACCCAUCGAGUCUGAUCCACGAACACAAGCAGUAACAGCUCCACGUCUCCCUAGCACCAUCAUAUUUCCCGCGAAGACUAACUACCUCAAACUCGAAAAACCCCAAUUUUUUUCGAGGAAGUGAAGCCUUUUCGUUUGAAUCCUGAGACAAUUUUUGAGGCCAUUUGGAGGAGAUCCUGGGACCAAUUUGAAAAAGAGCCAGAUCCUGGCUCUGAUCUUUGGAGACUUCAGAUAUUCUGGAUUGCCUAGACUCUAUGAACGUGUAAGAAGACCAGACCAGAAAUACUUUCUCUUUUCUGUGUAAAAACCUUAAUGUCAGAGAUAUUUAAAAAUGUCACAUAAUCUAUAUACCUUGUCAUAAACUUAUCUGUAAGUUACCAUUAAAUUGUUUUUUUGGUUUGG